Molecule: long non-coding RNA, 7357 nt
Filed under: Olea europaea (common olive)
Lineage: Eukaryota; Viridiplantae; Streptophyta; Magnoliopsida; Lamiales; Oleaceae
Description: long non-coding RNA (OEUR_LNC002244)
Source: RNAcentral
UCAACCCAAUGGAUUGAAGAUGCAAAGCCUGUUUGGUUUGCUGAUUUUAUUCACUUCACAAAUCACACACAAAGAGCCACAAAUGUACUCGGCACUUCAACCCUGAAAUCAAACAAUUCCAUCCAAUUCCAAUUUCUAAACCCUAUUCUCCGCUGUUGGCACUCACGCUGAGCCACCAUCGGGUCCUCGAUGUUGAGCCACCGGCCACUGUAGCACUACAUAACCACUGCAUUGCUGGUAACUGAUUCCACUCGUGAUGGCGUGAAGUAAGCGGUGAGCCUCGUGCCUUUCUUCAUUUUUUUUUUAAAUUUUUUGGUUUUUGUUCUUCUAGUUCGUUUAUUGAUUUAUUAUUAUGAAAUUAUGAGUUAUCAAUUAAAUUAAUCAGUUAUAAAUUAUGAAUUUAUGAGUUUAUGUUUUAUGAGAAUUUACUGUGAGUUUAUCUAUGAGUUGUGAGUUGUGAGCCUCUCAUUAGUAUUUGAGAAUAUGUGAUAUCAUUUAUGUGGACUAUGGAAUCUGUGAAAAUUGAGGAUUUUGUGAAAAUCGGGGAUUUUGGAAAUGGAAACUUUUAGUAUCCAUGGAUGAGGAAAUCCCCAAUAGUCAUUGAACUUUGCAGAAAAUUCCCUAGGAGGUCACCGAACUUCAAUACGUCUUUGAAUGGUCACUGAACUUUUUCGAAAUCUCCCAAAAAGUCACCGAAUUUUAAAAUGUUCCCGAAUGGUUACUGAACUUUAUAAAAAACCCUGGGAGGUCACUAAACUAGCUAUGUUUGGGGUCCCAAUUUGCAACGUUGAAUGAUCUCUCUAGGGGAUUUCGACAAAGUUCAGUGACCAUUUAGGGACGUUUUAAAGUUCAUUAACCUCUUGGGGGACUUCGGUAAAGUUCAGUAACUAUUUAGGGACGUAUUGAAAUUCGAUGACCUCCUAGAAAUUUUCUACAAAGUUUAGUGACCAUUGGGGGGAUUUCCUCAUCCAUGGACUUAUGGAAUCUUUUAGAAUUUGUCAAAAUUGGUGAUUUUUGAAAUGAAAACUUGAUAGUUAAUAUGAGAUUUACGUUUUAGUGCACUUAUAUAUUAAUUGAAAUUUUUUAAUAUUAUCCAAUCCAAUACUCCCUCCGUCCCAAUUAUAUAGGUUGAGUUUCUUUUUUCUCUUGUACCAAAUAUAUAAGCAUGUUUCCUAAUUUAGAAUAUUUUGUUUUGUUUCUUUAUCAAUAUACCCUUAUUCAAUUUUCACCACUUAAUAUGUCAACUUCUUGAAAAUUUUCAAAUACAGACAUUCCCACUUCUUGAAAACAUGAAACAACUCUCAUUUCUUCUUAUUCAAAUUCUUUUACUAAUUCCAACAAUAGUUUAUUACUACAUACUGAAAAUUAAAUAGGGGUAAAUUAGGGAAGAUUUUGGCAAAAAUUAAUUUUUCAAUGACAUUAAAAAAGAUUUCUUAAUUCGUGUGAAAAACGAACCAAACCUAUAUAAUUGAGUCGGAGGGAGUAUUAAUAAACAAUCUUGCUAAUGCGUUGGUCAAAAGUCACUGACUGUCCUAAAUGGCUCCAAUUCGUGAAUUCAUACUAGGUGUACGUGUAGCAUGACCCAGUCACUUUAGGAUGAUAGGUCAAUUUUGAAAAGUUCGCCGAUUUUAUUAUUUUUAUUAUUAAAAUAUAGGUUCGGAAUGUACCGAUUUUGGUCCGAUCUGCCUCUCUGCCAGUGGAACAAAUUUUGUCCACUUCUCAAAAUCGUGGAGCGACAAAAUAUUUUCAAUUAGUAAAUUUUUAUCGACAUUUAAAUAAUUUUUUAGAAUAUUAAAUGAUUUUUCUGUUGAAAAAUGUUUAAUACAGUUUUUAGUUUGGUUGCUAAUUCUACGAAAGAAUUGUCUAACAAUCUAUUUAAAAUAUAUAUAUUUUAUAUAAUUUUCAACCGAAUCAUCCCAUCGUAAAUCUGUUGGACAAUUGUUUAAUUUAUUAUUUAUUUAUUAUGCCAACGGAUUAGCAACAAAAGUUUAACAAUGGGAGACUUCCGUUGUUAAUCUAUUCGGUAAAUUAAUAUCUAUUUUUAAAAAUGAUAAAAUAAUUUCCCGUUGGAAAUUUGUAGCAAAUACAUCGUUUUUACCAAUGGAAUAAGUUGAUUGGUAAGAUUGCAUUGCUAAAUGCUAAGGCCUCACAUUCUAAAUAAUUAUCAGUGUUUAGCAUAGCAUUCCUCGAUCUGUGUAUAUAUUUAUGUGCGUACGAUAAUAAUUUUAUAGGUAUCAUUGUCGAGCUUUUUUUAUAGACCAAUUCAUUUAUUAUGGCUUGAAUUCUCAUAUUUGAGAAUGGUGGAUUCCUUGUUGAGCAUUUAUUUAUUCUAUUAUAAACGAAUUCCGUAUGUAUAGCAAAUUAAUUUAGCAUCAAUGGUUGACAACGUCAAAAUUAUUUUAUAAUAAUAGAGUAGUGAUAAAUAAAUAUUUCAUAUCGAAGGACAACACCCCCCUUUCAUAUAGAGUUUCAUAUCAUGCGUCCAAUGGAUGGAAGAGAAUAAGCAACCCGCCAAAUAUUACGUGGUGAGUGAUACAAGGGUUGCAGCUGUGUUGGUUUCAAGUUUAGAAUGAUAGGUCACUGUAUUGCAACAUAUGAGUUUCAUAUUGUACGUACUUUCAAUUGAAUAUAUUAUUUAAUGUCAUCCUAUUAUUAUAUAAUGAAUUAAGUAUGACAAAUAACAUUAUUCAAAAAAAUUUGAUUCGUGUUAUAAGCACAUUACAGCGUAGCGCCAACAUAAGGCUAUUUAGACUUGUUAGUUGAUAAGUUAAAUAUAUAUAUAGAAAAACAUUAGCUUGUAAAUUCGCACUGUCGUUACUUGCCACAUAUGAUACACGUUUUUUAGAUAAUAAUAUCUAACUGCUAAAACUAACCUAUUUUUUUCGAUGUUUUGACUGAAAAUUAAUCAAGUCAAUCAUUAUUUUACAGAAGAACACUAUCUAUAAGAAAAAUAAAUAAAUAAAAAUAAAAUUUUAGCAUGCCCUGAAGACCUGGCGAUGUGGCCAACUAUAUAUGCAUUAGCAAAAACUUUGUGAAUUGUCUUGCUUUGGUCAAUUUCUUUCUCUAGCUUUUCUCAUAUGCAUUGUUAUUAUCUUAUAGACGUGAAUCACGAGUUCUCAUAAAUUAUAUCAAGAGUAGAGGUACAGAUAUUGACAUAUAUAAAAUUUACACUUAUCUUGGCCAUCAAAAUUACCUUUUGGAUGUAAUUUUAUGAACUGGAUUAUUACCUUUUAUGUGUUUUUUAUUAUUUUAGGAGAAAAGUUGGGAUUGGAGAAGAACAGUGGAAAGUGGCAAUAAUUGAUCAAAAAGGAGUAUAGUUGGACAUGAUCUGGAAGUUAGGGACUAAUGAGCACGUUUGAAAGUUGAAUGACAUCAAUUGCAAUAUUGAAGAACUCAACCUGAGUUAAAAGAGAAAACAAAGACCCUAUCACACAAGAGAAUAUUAAAUUUCAGCAAUUUGAGAUAUCAUACUUGCACUAAAAUUAUGGUUCCUCAUCUUAUUAGAACUCCAUUUUAGACAUAAAUUAGGUCUACAAAUAAGAAUCUUUCAUUCCAAGUUUAACGGAGGCUGGAAAUAUUAUUUCCAGGCAUAAUUACAAAUCCAAACACAGUGAAUCCUUAUCAAAACUUCCAACAUAAUAAUGAAGAAUAUCAACUCACAAAAAUGACUAAAAUGCCUCUAAAAUUGCCUAUAAAUAAGACAAGUGUACAACGAAGAAAGGGAUUCAAAUUCUACACAAAAAUUAUUGAGAUUGAAAGAACAUCUCAUGUAAGUAAUAUCUCGAAGAUUUAAAGGCUAUCUUCAAUUAAUAAACACCUCUUACUGAAAGAACAGCAGAACAUAUCUCUAUAAAGCAAAACCUAGCUUCAAAAUAGACAAAAAUCCCCAAAUAGAGGAAAAUUUGACUGUCGACUUUGAAAAUUACUAUCCAUUUCUUUUAAGUACCCGUUUGUAGGAACUCUAAAUAAAACCACAAGCGAAAACACCUGAGGAAAUAGAGAAGCCAAGGAAAAUGAGUGACAGCGAAUCAUACAACGAUGAAAAUUUGAGCAAAAAAUAAAUCAUACUGUCCUACAGAAAUAAAAUGCUGAAAUAAGAAGAAAUCAAAGGUCAUCGAGAAAAAAUGAUUAGGUUAACUCAAACCAUAACUGUAAAGUCUCGAAUUUUAUAUUCUUAAAUUGGUUGGUGUAUCCCAUAUAAGAAACGAGCUAUGGUGGCUCAAUCCAUUUAAGGUAGUGAAAUCACAAGCCACGAGUUAAACUAAAGCUCAAAUAUUUAAGAAAUUAAGUUUAAAUAAAUUUAAUUACAAAGAUUUAUUAAAUAACUGGGUCUCACAAUGGUCAUCAGAUGCUAUUUCACAUAGGUAACUUAGGUACGAAUCACCAUGUUGGUUUUUAAUAAAAUAUUUUAUAUUUUGGAGUUAAAAACUUUUCAUUUUGCACAUUAAAAAUAAUUAUAUCAAGUUAAUCGGAUGAAAUAAUUAUUUUAUUAAUGGAUAUUAAUAGAUAUAGGUUACAAAUCAUAUGAAUAAUUCAUUUUCCUUGAUGGUUCAUCAUAUAAAUGUUUUAUAAAUUUUUUUUUAUAAGAAUUAUAUUUUAUAGGCUUAAAACUUUUUAAAUUCUUACUUAAAAAUUCUAUUUAACAAGGUUAAUGAUAAUAUAACUCUCAUAUUUAGUUUUUCACUAAAAAUGGAGGUUACAAGACUUUUUCUCUACACCUUUCCUCAAAUAUGAAUUUGCUUUUUUUAUUUCUUUUUCUCACAUAAAUCUCUUUUUAGUUAAGCUAAGCUCAAAUUAAUAGCAAGAAUCUGAAGGAAAAAGGUUUCUACACAUUUUAUUCCUUUAUAUUUCAAGAAAAUCAAAGUAUGUGGUGGUAAGUAUUUACCCUUUUUGUUUAUUAUAUGUAUAUAUAUGUAUGCUUGUAAUGUGUAUUAAAAUUUUUUGAGGAAUUUGUUGAUAUCAGUCCUAUUGAGCUUAAAGCUCACACUUUUCCAUUUUGAAAAAUGUUUUCGGAUUAAAAUAUGGUCCAAAAAGUGGGAUUUACUUGGAUUGCAGAAAAUCGAAAGGGAGAAAAGUGCUUCAUUUGUGUAAUUAGUCACAUUUGAAGAGUUUCUAAUUCUUAAUAGUUAUGCAACUUAUGUAAGGAUUUUUAAUUAAAGAUGGGCUUGUAUGUGUAAAUAAUUGUGUGUUAAAUUAUAGGCUAUCGAAUUCGGUUGAGCCCGAUUAAAGUGAUCUAAUAAGGUUUCGGUUUUUGGGCUUUAAUGUAUCCAAUUAAAGCAUGGGUUUACAUAUGUGUAGAGACCGGGCCCAAGUCCUAAUUCUAUGAGAGGCCGAAUUAGGUCAAAGGGCAUCCUCAUAUAAAUAGGUUAUGGUCCCCAGAUCACACGCAACGAAUUAUUCAUUCUCUACUGCAUCCCAUCACAGAGAGGAAAAGGAGACUGCGUGUAGAUUUGGAAGAUCAUACCGCGAAAUCCAUAUUGCAUUAACCAUGUCAGAUUCAGGUAUACUUCCGCUUUAAUUCUUAUAUUUCUCGAUGAUUUAACAUGAAAGAUCCAGUAAUUUAAAGCAUUAAAUUAUCCAACAACUUAUACUUAAUUUCUAAAAGAUAUUGAUUUAUCUUUCCUUAAGAUUUCUUAGUUCUUUUUUUUUUUUAUGUGAACAUUGAAAUUUUUAAUUGGUUUAAAUAUGCAUAUAAUUAAAGUUACUAAAAAAGUGAAGAUUAAAUUUUAGACUUGUAAACAAUAAUUUUCAGCUUACUACAUGAACUUUGCCGUGUCAUCUCGGAUAGAAUUCUUUGAUUUUUGUUUUUUUUAGUGGAGUUUGAAAGCACUAUUAGUUCUCUGUCGGUUGACUUCAGAAUCAAGUCAAUUGAAGGUCGGUAGGAUAAGUUAUGCCAUUUUUUGUGUGCCAUAUUUAGUGUACCCAAAAAUAAUUUUUUCCACAUGUUUGAGUGUCCAUUUGAGUGCCAAAAUGAUAGAAAUUUUGAAAUAUUACUAUGUUGUACUUGGAUGAAUUUAGAAAAUACUAUAUAAAUUUCAUAGAAUUAUAAAUCCAAUAAAUGGUUCAAAUAAGCAUGAUCAUUGGGUAGCGCGUUGCUGAAUUUAACUCCUUUAACAUACGCUAAUAUUCAUUUUAAUCCUCCUUUUUAGUUUCAUUAUUUAAUAAAUCAGAGAUAUCUACUUUAAAUUAUUUGUUUCCAAUAUAUUUUGAAAUUUGUAAUAGAAAGUAAGGGUAAACUACAAAAUAAAAAGGAAAUUAAAAAAAAUUAAUUUAACUUGAAUUUUUUUAAAAGAAAAAUUGUAAAAAAUGCACGUUGUUGUUUUAUGUAACAAUUUCAAAUUUCAAAUUUUAAAAUGAUUCUGUAAACAUUAUUGAUGUAUUAAAAAAUCUUAUUUAUUUACUUACAUGUGUAGACGUAAUUUAAAUGAGAACAUGUAGUACUAGCAUGUCAUGUGUUAAAAGUUUUAAAUAGAUAUGUUCAUCACAAAUUUUCUUAUGUGCUUAAGAAACGUAUUAAAAGUACGAAAAAAGAGAGAUUCGAUAAGGAUUUGAAUUAUCCUCUAUACUCCACCCAAAUCCUCAACAUGAAAAUUUUAUUAAACAUUUUCAUGGAAUUCCUAAGUUAUAUUUUCAUGACUUUUAUUGUUAGUUGUGGAAAAAAAAAUGUAUUGGACUGUGAUAACUAUGGGUAACAAAUGGCUAGAAGAAGAAGUCCAGUUAGUGCCAUAGGAAUGGCAAUUAGAGCGUAUUUGUAUUUUGAAGUUGAUCAUUCCCUAGGUUUAGAGGAUCAUGUGCAAAGUGUUCGUAAGCUUUGGGUGGCAACGGAAAAUGCAGGCUUCAAAUUAGAAAUUGACAAGCCACUUGACAUCUCGUGGAUAUAUUAGCACCUUGUGAAGAGCAUAUAUAUUGGCAAGCUUUUAUUUAAAGAAAUGACAUCAGUAAUUCCAUCGGAGAAUCUACGUGAUAUAGAAUAUGUAGAUUUUUGAAAUGCACUUAAAGAGUACUGGGAAACCUAUUCGGAAAAGUAAUCUCACGUUCCAAUUCAAAUUCAGGAAUGAUGACAGAUGAUGAGGUAACUCAACCAUUGGGAAUUGAUGAAGUAAAUCAACCAAUGGGGAUCAUCGAGGAAGCGGUAGAGGAAGGCCUCAAAAAGAUUUGAAGGAAGACUGAAAGGAGAAUGUAGAAGGCCUAUAGAUGACAAAUAAAAUAAAUAAAUAAGAAUAAUAUCAACAUUAUGUUUUUCUUUGUAGUUUUAAUUAAGUUCAAAUGACAUGUAAACUUUCUUAAGUUUGAGAUUGUAAAUGAAGUUAUGCACUUUUCUUUUAAAUUUUCAUUCUUAAAUUAGUGGCGUGCAUAU